AUGGAUGCAAUUUUUUUUAAAAAAAUUUGAGGCUUCAAGUAAGUUAAUUUCGAGGACGAAAUUUUUUUUAAGGGGGAGAGUAUGUAAUACCCCUAAAAAAAAAAAAAGAGAGAAAAAAAAAGAGAGAGGGGUGGAUGGGCCGGCCCGAAAAGACCGGGCCCAUCCACCAUAUAUGAUCGUGCCCUAGGCACGAUCGUUGGAGAAGAAACACAAGGAAAAAAAAAGGGGGGGGGGGGGCAGCGGCGGCGUUGGAGGCGAUCGCCGGGGGAGAUCAAGCGCCGGAGCCGAGAACCGGCCGACCGUGGAGGAAGCUUUAAAGCUCUUCCUUCCUUCAAGAAGAUCCCCACAAAUCGGGUGAAGAAGCUUGGGGAUCCGAGGGUCUUCCUCUCCGAUUUUGUCGCCGGAAAGGCCGCCGGAGCACCCCCAUCAGACCGAGGUAAGCGUGGCUUCUUCCUUGCAUUUUAUUGCUUGGUUUUUGGGUCGUGUGGGAGGGGUUUUUGGCCGGUGAAUCGUCG
This 515-nucleotide long non-coding RNA is filed under the name Phoenix dactylifera (date palm). Its description in RNAcentral is "long non-coding RNA (PDAC_LNC010429)". Lineage: Eukaryota; Viridiplantae; Streptophyta; Magnoliopsida; Arecales; Arecaceae. The record is from RNAcentral.